This 76-nucleotide transfer RNA is filed under the name Chloroflexota bacterium. RNAcentral describes it as "tRNA-Glu". It matches the Rfam family "tRNA". From Rfam's summary of the family: Transfer RNA (tRNA) molecules are approximately 80 nucleotides in length. Their secondary structure includes four short double-helical elements and three loops (D, anti-codon, and T loops). Lineage: Bacteria; Bacillati; Chloroflexota. The record is from RNAcentral.
GGCCCAUUCGUCUAGGGGACCAGGACGCCGGCCUCUCAAGCCGGAAACAGGGGUUCGAAUCCCCUAUGGGCCACCA